This 2559-nucleotide ribosomal RNA is filed under the name Escherichia coli. RNAcentral describes it as "bacterial LSU rRNA". It matches the Rfam family "Bacterial large subunit ribosomal RNA", at positions 398 to 2925 of the family's 2925-position model. Lineage: Bacteria; Pseudomonadati; Pseudomonadota; Gammaproteobacteria; Enterobacterales; Enterobacteriaceae. The record is from RNAcentral.
UGUGAGCUCGAUGAGUAGGGCGGGACACGUGGUAUCCUGUCUGAAUAUGGGGGGACCAUCCUCCAAGGCUAAAUACUCCUGACUGACCGAUAGUGAACCAGUACCGUGAGGGAAAGGCGAAAAGAACCCCGGCGAGGGGAGUGAAAAAGAACCUGAAACCGUGUACGUACAAGCAGUGGGAGCACGCUUAGGCGUGUGACUGCGUACCUUUUGUAUAAUGGGUCAGCGACUUAUAUUCUGUAGCAAGGUUAACCGAAUAGGGGAGCCGAAGGGAAACCGAGUCUUAACUGGGCGUUAAGUUGCAGGGUAUAGACCCGAAACCCGGUGAUCUAGCCAUGGGCAGGUUGAAGGUUGGGUAACACUAACUGGAGGACCGAACCGACUAAUGUUGAAAAAUUAGCGGAUGACUUGUGGCUGGGGGUGAAAGGCCAAUCAAACCGGGAGAUAGCUGGUUCUCCCCGAAAGCUAUUUAGGUAGCGCCUCGUGAAUUCAUCUCCGGGGGUAGAGCACUGUUUCGGCAAGGGGGUCAUCCCGACUUACCAACCCGAUGCAAACUGCGAAUACCGGAGAAUGUUAUCACGGGAGACACACGGCGGGUGCUAACGUCCGUCGUGAAGAGGGAAACAACCCAGACCGCCAGCUAAGGUCCCAAAGUCAUGGUUAAGUGGGAAACGAUGUGGGAAGGCCCAGACAGCCAGGAUGUUGGCUUAGAAGCAGCCAUCAUUUAAAGAAAGCGUAAUAGCUCACUGGUCGAGUCGGCCUGCGCGGAAGAUGUAACGGGGCUAAACCAUGCACCGAAGCUGCGGCAGCGACGCUUAUGCGUUGUUGGGUAGGGGAGCGUUCUGUAAGCCUGCGAAGGUGUGCUGUGAGGCAUGCUGGAGGUAUCAGAAGUGCGAAUGCUGACAUAAGUAACGAUAAAGCGGGUGAAAAGCCCGCUCGCCGGAAGACCAAGGGUUCCUGUCCAACGUUAAUCGGGGCAGGGUGAGUCGACCCCUAAGGCGAGGCCGAAAGGCGUAGUCGAUGGGAAACAGGUUAAUAUUCCUGUACUUGGUGUUACUGCGAAGGGGGGACGGAGAAGGCUAUGUUGGCCGGGCGACGGUUGUCCCGGUUUAAGCGUGUAGGCUGGUUUUCCAGGCAAAUCCGGAAAAUCAAGGCUGAGGCGUGAUGACGAGGCACUACGGUGCUGAAGCAACAAAUGCCCUGCUUCCAGGAAAAGCCUCUAAGCAUCAGGUAACAUCAAAUCGUACCCCAAACCGACACAGGUGGUCAGGUAGAGAAUACCAAGGCGCUUGAGAGAACUCGGGUGAAGGAACUAGGCAAAAUGGUGCCGUAACUUCGGGAGAAGGCACGCUGAUAUGUAGGUGAAGUCCCUCGCGGAUGGAGCUGAAAUCAGUCGAAGAUACCAGCUGGCUGCAACUGUUUAUUAAAAACACAGCACUGUGCAAACACGAAAGUGGACGUAUACGGUGUGACGCCUGCCCGGUGCCGGAAGGUUAAUUGAUGGGGUUAGCGCAAGCGAAGCUCUUGAUCGAAGCCCCGGUAAACGGCGGCCGUAACUAUAACGGUCCUAAGGUAGCGAAAUUCCUUGUCGGGUAAGUUCCGACCUGCACGAAUGGCGUAAUGAUGGCCAGGCUGUCUCCACCCGAGACUCAGUGAAAUUGAACUCGCUGUGAAGAUGCAGUGUACCCGCGGCAAGACGGAAAGACCCCGUGAACCUUUACUAUAGCUUGACACUGAACAUUGAGCCUUGAUGUGUAGGAUAGGUGGGAGGCUUUGAAGUGUGGACGCCAGUCUGCAUGGAGCCGACCUUGAAAUACCACCCUUUAAUGUUUGAUGUUCUAACGUUGACCCGUAAUCCGGGUUGCGGACAGUGUCUGGUGGGUAGUUUGACUGGGGCGGUCUCCUCCUAAAGAGUAACGGAGGAGCACGAAGGUUGGCUAAUCCUGGUCGGACAUCAGGAGGUUAGUGCAAUGGCAUAAGCCAGCUUGACUGCGAGCGUGACGGCGCGAGCAGGUGCGAAAGCAGGUCAUAGUGAUCCGGUGGUUCUGAAUGGAAGGGCCAUCGCUCAACGGAUAAAAGGUACUCCGGGGAUAACAGGCUGAUACCGCCCAAGAGUUCAUAUCGACGGCGGUGUUUGGCACCUCGAUGUCGGCUCAUCACAUCCUGGGGCUGAAGUAGGUCCCAAGGGUAUGGCUGUUCGCCAUUUAAAGUGGUACGCGAGCUGGGUUUAGAACGUCGUGAGACAGUUCGGUCCCUAUCUGCCGUGGGCGCUGGAGAACUGAGGGGGGCUGCUCCUAGUACGAGAGGACCGGAGUGGACGCAUCACUGGUGUUCGGGUUGUCAUGCCAAUGGCACUGCCCGGUAGCUAAAUGCGGAAGAGAUAAGUGCUGAAAGCAUCUAAGCACGAAACUUGCCCCGAGAUGAGUUCUCCCUGACUCCUUGAGAGUCCUGAAGGAACGUUGAAGACGACGACGUUGAUAGGCCGGGUGUGUAAGCGCAGCGAUGCGUUGAGCUAACCGGUACUAAUGAACCGUGAGGCUUAACCUUACAACGCCGAAG